AGUGAACGCUGGCGGUAUGCCUAACACAUGCAAGUCGAACGGCAGCACAGUAAGAUCUUGCUCUUACGGGUGGCGAGUGGCGGACGAGUGAGGAAUACAUCGGAAUCUACUUUUUCGGGGGGGAUAACGUAGGGAAACUUACGCUAAUACCGCAUACGACCUACGGGUGAAAGCAGUGGAUCUUCGGACCUUUCGCGAUUGAAUGAGCCGAUGUCGGAUUAGCUAGUUGGCGGGGUAAAGGCCCACCAAGGCGACGAUCCGUAGCUGGUCUGAGAGGAUGAUCAGCCACACUGGAACUGAGACACGGUCCAGACUCCUACGGGAGGCAGCAGUGGGGAAUAUUGGACAAUGGGCGAAAGCCUGAUCCAGCCACACCGCGUGGGUGAAGAAGGCCUUCGGGUUGUAAAGCCCUUUUGUUGGGAAAGAAAAGCAGCAGGUUAAUACCCCGCUGUUUUGACGGUACCCAAAGAAUAAGCACCGGCUAACUUCGUG
RNAcentral lists this ribosomal RNA (492 nucleotides) under uncultured bacterium. RNAcentral describes it as "partial 16S ribosomal RNA". It matches the Rfam family "Bacterial small subunit ribosomal RNA", at positions 29 to 507 of the family's 1533-position model. The record is from RNAcentral.